GGCAGAAGCGCCGAGACUGGUUCUCGGAAGGGCUUCUACCGGUCUACAGAACAUGCCGUCGUCCUCAUGUCCCUUCAUCACUGGAGAUCAUCGCAGCGCCAAAGUGAUUUGGUGUGCUGUGAUGAGCGCCUGAGCUGGCCCACAGCCGCCCGCGGCCGCCUAUUUUAGGUGUUGGCCUGCUUGGGAUAUGGUGGGGGCCGGUAGCUCAGGUGGUUAGAGCGCACGCCUGAUAAGCGUGAGGUCGCAAGUUCAACUCUUGCUCGGCCCACCAGAUCGCAGUUGCGCAGGAAUUGGCGAGAGUUGAUUCCGCGACUGACGGCGUAGCAGGGCGCGACGCCGGUUUGUCGGCGUGCGAGGCGCUGGCGCUUUAGAUCGAGUUCCCUGAUACGGGGCCUUAGCUCAGCUGGGAGAGCACCUGCUUUGCAAGCAGGGGGUCAUCGGUUCGAUCCCGAUAGGCUCCACCAUUCUCGCCGGUUGGCGGCAUCAGAUGGUGGAAUCAGGUUCGGUGGGAAUGGCGAUCGGGCGCAAUCAAGAAUACUCCCAGGGAUGAAGACAUGAUAUCCGGCCGCAAGGCUGGUGAUGCGGAAGGGUUGCUUCUGCUGCUUCUUUGACAUUGUGAAUGGGUUUUUAAUCGAUGCCGUGGUGCAUUGGUUUGCAUGGCUCGGGGCUGCGAGGUUCCGGGUGUCGUGUGGAUCGAUGUGUCACUUACAGAUGUAUAUCUGGCUGAGAUUAUCGUCCGCAUCUAGAACAGCGCAG
Molecule: transfer RNA, 756 nt
Filed under: Sphingomonas sp. SLAU-20
Lineage: Bacteria; Pseudomonadati; Pseudomonadota; Alphaproteobacteria; Sphingomonadales; Sphingomonadaceae
Description: partial contains 16S ribosomal RNA, 16S-23S ribosomal RNA intergenic spacer, and 23S ribosomal RNA
Rfam family: tRNA (bases 195-268)
Source: RNAcentral